This 177-nucleotide unclassified non-coding RNA is filed under the name fungal sp. Its description in RNAcentral is "partial internal transcribed spacer region". The stretch from base 1 to 46 matches the Rfam family "Eukaryotic small subunit ribosomal RNA", at positions 1786 to 1831 of the family's 1831-position model. The record is from RNAcentral. RNAcentral also lists the same sequence under 2 other names. Lineage: Eukaryota; Fungi.
AAGUCGUAACAAGGUUUCCGUAGGUGAACCUGCGGAAGGAUCAUUAGAGAUUUGCCGCGAGGCGAUUUUGUUCCACACACACUUGUGAACCGGGCGCGAGCCCACGUUUUUAACGUCCUGUGAAGAAUGUGAAACUGUAACAUGAGAAAACUUUCAACAACGGAUCUCUUGGCUCUC